This 395-nucleotide ribosomal RNA is filed under the name uncultured bacterium. RNAcentral describes it as "bacterial SSU rRNA". It matches the Rfam family "Bacterial small subunit ribosomal RNA", at positions 28 to 425 of the family's 1533-position model. The record is from RNAcentral.
GAUGAACGCUAGCGGCAGGCCUAACACAUGCAAGUCGAGGGGUAGAGUUCUUCGGGACUUGAGACCGGCGCACGGGUGCGUAACGCGUAUGCAAUCUACCUUAUACAGGGGAAUAGCCCAGAGAAAUUUGGAUUAAUGCCCCAUAGUGUUAUCGAAUCGCAUGGUUUGAUAACUAAAGUUCCAACGGUAUAAGAUGAGCAUGCGUCCAUUAGUUAGUUGGUAAGGUAACGGCUUACCAAGACAAUGAUGGGUAGGGGUCCUGAGAGGGAGAUCCCCCACACUGGUACUGAGACACGGACCAGACUCCUACGGGAGGCAGCAGUGGGGGAAUAUUGGACAAUGGGCGCAAGCCUGAUCCAGCCAUGCCGCGUGCAGGAUGACGGUCCUAUGGAUUG